This 881-nucleotide long non-coding RNA is filed under the name Dunaliella salina. Its description in RNAcentral is "long non-coding RNA (DSAL_LNC000282)". The record is from RNAcentral. Lineage: Eukaryota; Viridiplantae; Chlorophyta; Chlorophyceae; Chlamydomonadales; Dunaliellaceae.
GCGGAGUCCUCCUGAGAUGCCGCCGCAGCCAUGCAGGAGGCAGCUGGUGGGAAGGUGGCGCAGAGGGAGGCGAGCAAGGCAGAAAGAUGAGGACCCAAGCAUGGGGCGUUCACGGGGGUCAGGGGGUGCGCGUGCGCAGCGGCAGACCUGCAAGGGCAGAGCUGUUGCACGCACAAGGAUGAGUGCGCAAAUGCCUUGGUGGACCUUAGACCUUCUUGCGCGAGAAUGGGUGCAUGCAUGGGAUUGUUGGUCAUGGAUGCGCAUAUGCAGUGGCAGACCUGCAAGGACAGAGCCUCUUGCGCGCACGAAGAUGAGUGCGCACACGUGCCUUUGCAGUAUCUAUAACCCCCAUGCGCAGCAGCAGACCUAGAGCAGUGCUUGCGUGUGUUAGAAGGUGAGCCUGUGCGAUUACAAGUAAGGAAAUAUGGGUGCAUUUGUCUGCGCAGGUGGCCAACUGGAGAGCCUCUAUGAACGCGCAUGGGAUGCGCACGCAGCCAUUGAUUUAUCAUGUGGUAGCAGGUUGAAGCAUGUGCUCUGGUGUGUUCAGGUGAGGGAUAGCAUGUCUUUUGCUUGAAUUGGAUCUACGCGCAUUGCACAGCCGUUUUUGAAGGCGCACCCAUUCAGCCACAUACUCUCCAUUUCUAAGAAGUGAUUAAAUGCGCACUAUGAAAGGCGAGCUGCAUACAGCACGCCAGAUUUUGCACCCCCGGAGGUUGUGCCUAAGAGCUUUGCCAAAGUCCAGACUUUGCACUUGCAAAUCUAGGGGCUGACCCUUUGGCCGGCACACGCGUUUCAUUGCACCUUGCCACCUGCAUCACUCGGACCUGUGCGAUGAGGGUGUAAUGGAGGCAGCUGCCGUGAAGAAGUCCUGGCGCUCCACA